Long non-coding RNA from Marmota monax (woodchuck), 2664 nucleotides. RefSeq lists it as uncharacterized. The record is from RefSeq and is a predicted model, not a curated record. Lineage: Eukaryota; Metazoa; Chordata; Mammalia; Rodentia; Sciuridae. The transcript is spliced from 6 exons.
GAUCUCGGCUGGCAGUUUCUGAGCUCCGAGCGCUCGGCUUCUCUGUUUUUGCGCAGCGCCCUCAUUCUGCCAACCAAUCGUCGACGAGCACCACCCACUGAGCAAGUGCUUAUUGGCCAAACCGGCCGUCAAAUAGACACGUCACCGGGCAGCCAGGCCGGGCGGGACACAACCCGCGCCUGGGCUGCCCGGGUUGAGUGUGAGUGUGUGUGUGUGUGAGAGAGAACAGCCCCGCAGGUCCCGAGGCGCUGGCUGGGGACUCUGCCGCGGAAAGUUCCCAGUCCCCAGCCUCAGGAUAGGAAGAGUCCCUAGCGGCUUCUGCUAAUGAAUGACCCAAGAGUAACACCACCACAAUCUACGGGAAAUGAUCUGCAGGGUUGAAAUGAAAUGUUUUGAGCUCUUCAAGCUGACUCAUCAGAAUCCAGGAGCCUAGUGAAAAUGAUGGUAAUGUCCUAAGCCACUUCCUGCAACUACAUCCUUCCACCAUGAUGUCCUGCCUCACCUUGAGCUCCAAGGAAUGAAGCUGACCUUCUAUGGAUUGAGACCUCUGAAACUGUUCUUUCUCAGUUGCCCAGACUGGCCUUGAACUUGUCUUCUCCUGCCUCAGCUUUCAGAAUAGCUGUGAUUACAGGCAUUUUAGUGGAAGUUUGGAAGAUUCUGGCACAAACUAUUUUCGUAUCAUCAUUUUAAUGUUGCAUCAACUGUUUCAUCCUGAACCCACUGAAGUUGCCUGUUAGGAACUCCAGCAGGUGCCUAUGGAUUUGUAUGAGUCGUAUCUUAUCGAGACUCCUGGCAAACUUAAUUUGCAUCAGUUUGUAAUCAGAAUUGAGGCUUGUUUGAGUUUAGAUUCUGAAUUACCUAAAAUUAGUGCAAAAAUUCUGAUCUAAGAGUGUUUGUACAUUGUAUUAAUCUCCUUUGAAAGACUAACACAUUAUUACAUAUAUAUGUAUCAAAUAGCUUAAAAUAAUUCUGACAUUUUUAUGUCCCUCUACCUUGAAAAAAACUACAACUUGGUACUGAAGAAGUACUUUGUUAUUCUGUCUUUGUCCAUCUCUCUCUCUCUUUCUCUCUCGCCCUCAUUUAUUAAGUGCCUUAUGAGCAACUUGGUCAUGGUCCAUCACCUCUAAAUAUUUUUGUGGAGGACAUCCAUCAGUUACAUUAUUCCGAUUAAAUAUGUGUAUGGAGAUUAAAAAAAGAAAAUGUUCUUUAUUAUUUCAAAUGCCCUCCUAUCCCAUGUUUAAAUACACAGUGAGAUUCUGAUUCAGACAACUGCUUUAAAUCACUCUUAUUUUUUUCACUUUGGCAUUAGUAAGAAAAGUAAACAUUUUUUGGUAAUACAAAUGUUACAUCUCUGUAAACAUAGGAUGUAGUCUUUUAAAUUAAAUAUGUCAAAAUGAAUUAAAAUGAUGGACUAUUUUAGUUUGGUUAUUAAUUGAUUAGUAGUGCAUUUAACUAUUACUUUGAUUAUAUCAGUGACUCAUAAGCUUUGCCCUUUUUGUGGUCACUGGCAGCAUAGCUGAUUUUUAAAGGACUUUUUCUGGCUUCAUUGACUUUUGUAGUGAGCACAGUUCCUUUCGGUCACUUGCUCCCUUUGAUGAUAGUCUCUUUAUUGACUCAAUGAUGAAUAAUAUCCUCAGUAUUCAUAUUCAAGUACUCCAAACACAGAUGAACUGAGACACUGGAUCAGAUCCAUGGAAUACUUAACAUGCUUAAUUUUAACAAUUCAAAUGGUUAGAUGAUGCACUUAAGUUUGAAUUAAAUUUUCCAUCCAUGGAUUCAACAUGUUCUUCCAACUUAAAAAGAAAGCAGAAAGAGAGGUCCCUGCAAAUAUUAAAAAGAAAUAAAAUAACCAGAAAAGACCAAAAGAUCAAGAGAAAAGCAUCCUACAUGACCUUGAGUGGAUUUAUGUUUUUGAGCUAUACAUGGAUAAACAGAAACAGUAAUCAUAGUUCAUAUAUUACUAAGAACAAAGUAGACAUUAUUUAUCAUUGUUUCUAAUUAUGCAUUUUAAAAAUUGAUUUUAUUGCCUAUUGACUAUUUCAUAGGCCUAUCACAUUAGUAUAAAACUAGUUGUCCUGUUAAAACCAAUUAAAGUGUUUGAGUUAAAUCUUAAUUUGGAUGUAUAUCAAUUGCAGAAAUGUUCUAAAAAAUUUUUAUAUUUCCUCUUAAAUCAAAAUGUAUGAAUCUCAGAUACCAAAUACUAUUUAGUAUAUAAUUCUUUAGCACAUUAGAAAUUUUCUGGUCAAAUAUAAAUUUACUUCUCAUUUACAUUAUUAGUAAAAAAUAUGCAAAUGAUUUUUAGUGCAUCACAAUUUAUGGAAAUUUGUAAUUAACUGUGGCUAUCUUAUCCAUAGAACAUAAUCACAUUGUCAGUCUAUCUCUAAAAUACAAAGCUCUGUAUGUCAAUGUUCAAAUAUUCAAUGUGAAGAUAUUUGGAUAAAUAUUUUUUGAAUAAAUCUGGCCUUAAACUCAUAAAACUCAUUUCUUGUGUUCAAGAAAAGAAUAUUGAUACUUGUUGCAGAGGGCAAGACAAACUUUAUUCAGGGUGUAUGGGAAAUUGUCACCAUAGAUCUAGGGACCAUUGCAGUGGAAUAUUAAAGUGAGGGAGAAAGAUUGGGCUCAAAUCUAAAUCCAGUAUGGAUAAGUGGGAACUUACAGCCAAAA